Molecule: ribosomal RNA, 253 nt
Filed under: uncultured bacterium
Lineage: Bacteria
Description: partial 16S ribosomal RNA
Rfam family: Bacterial small subunit ribosomal RNA
Source: RNAcentral
UACGAAGGGGGCUAGCGUUGUUCGGAAUUACUGGGCGUAAAGGGCGCGUAGGCGGCGUGUCAAGUCAGGCGUGAAAGCCCCGGGCUCAACCUGGGAACCGCGCUUGAGACUGGCAUGCUCGAGUUCGGGAGAGGAUGGUGGAAUUCCCAGUGUAGCGGUGAAAUGCGUAGAUAUCUGGAGGAAUACCGGUGGCGAAGGCGGCAUCCUGGACCAACACUGACACUGAGGAGCGAAAGCCAGGGGAGCAAACGGG